UACAGAGGGUGCGAGCGUUAAUCGGAAUUACUGGGCGUAAAGCGCACGGAGGUGGCGACGUAAGUCGGGUGUGAAAGCCCCGGGCUCAACCUGGGAAUUGCAUUCGAGACUGCAUUGCUGGAGUACGGAAGAGGAGGGCGGAAUUCCCGGUGUAGCGGUGAAAUGCGUAGAUAUCGGGAGGAACAUCAGUGGCGAACGCGGCCCGCUGGUCCAGUACUGACACUCAAGGGCGAAAGCGUGGGGAGCAACCAGC
Molecule: ribosomal RNA, 253 nt
Filed under: uncultured bacterium
Lineage: Bacteria
Description: partial 16S ribosomal RNA
Rfam family: Bacterial small subunit ribosomal RNA
Source: RNAcentral